Molecule: long non-coding RNA, 243 nt
Filed under: Elaeis guineensis (African oil palm)
Lineage: Eukaryota; Viridiplantae; Streptophyta; Magnoliopsida; Arecales; Arecaceae
Description: long non-coding RNA (EGUI_LNC033169)
Source: RNAcentral
UGGUAUCUACAUUGUCACCAGCAUUGUAGUCUUGGGCGGGGAUCUAUAUUCUACAUGAGGGAUCCUCCUAACAAGUGGUAUCAUCGCAAGGUUGUCUGGGGUUGCGGCAGUGUUGAUUGAAGUUGAAGAAGAUGAAGAAGAUAGGCUCAAUCAAGAUAAAGAUCAAUCGAUAUGAUGGGAAGAAUAAUUUCUUCCUAUGACAAGUGAAGGAGAAUGAUGUGCUCAUCUAACAAGGGUUGAUUG